RNAcentral lists this ribosomal RNA (520 nucleotides) under uncultured Diversispora. RNAcentral describes it as "SSU rRNA". It matches the Rfam family "Eukaryotic small subunit ribosomal RNA", at positions 569 to 1089 of the family's 1831-position model. Lineage: Eukaryota; Fungi; Glomeromycota; Glomeromycetes; Diversisporales; Diversisporaceae. The record is from RNAcentral.
AGCAGCCGCGGUAAUUCCAGCUCCAAUAGCGUAUAUUAAAGUUGUUGCAGUUAAAAAGCUCGUAGUUGAACUUCGGGAUUUGCCCAUUGGUCAGGCUUAACUGUCUGCACUGGUGUGACGAGUUCCUACCUUCUGAGGAAUCUCCAUGUCAUUCAGUUGGUGUGGGGGGAAAUCAGGACUGUUACUUUGAAAAAUUAGAGUGUUUAAAGCAGGCAUCCGUCUGAAUACAUUAGCAUGGAAUAAUAAAAUAGGACGGUUUGGUUCUAUUUUGUUGGUUUCUAGGAUCACCGUAAUGAUUAAUAGGGAUAGUUGGGGGCAUUAGUAUUCAAUUGUCAGAGGUGAAAUUCUUGGAUUUAUUGAAGACUAACUACUGCGAAAGCAUUUGCCAAGGAUGUUUUCAUUAAUCAAGAACGAAAGUUAGGGGAUCGAAGACGAUCAGAUACCGUCGUAGUCUUAACCAUAAACUAUGCCGACUAGGGAUCGGACGAAGUUAAUUUUUAANGUACUCGUUCGGCACCUU